Molecule: ribosomal RNA, 253 nt
Filed under: uncultured bacterium
Lineage: Bacteria
Description: partial 16S ribosomal RNA
Rfam family: Bacterial small subunit ribosomal RNA
Source: RNAcentral
UACAGAGGGUGCAAGCGUUGUUCGGAAUUACUGGGCGUAAAGGGCGCGUAGGCGGCCCCCUAAGUCAGACGUGAAAUCCCUCGGCUCAACCGGGGAACUGCGUCUGAUACUGGGUGGCUUGAGUUCGGGAGAGGGAUGCGGAAUUCCAGGUGUAGCGGUGAAAUGCGUAGAUAUCUGGAGGAACACCGGUGGCGAAGGCGGCAUCCUGGACCGAGAUUGACGCUGAGGCGCGAAAGCCAGGGGAGCAAACGGG